This 257-nucleotide unclassified non-coding RNA is filed under the name uncultured fungus. RNAcentral describes it as "partial contains 5.8S ribosomal RNA, internal transcribed spacer 2, and large subunit ribosomal RNA". Lineage: Eukaryota; Fungi. The record is from RNAcentral.
AACGCACAUUGCGCCCAUUAGUAUUCUAGUGGGCAUGCCUAUUCGAGCGUCAUUUCGACCCUUAAGCCCUCGUUGCUUAGCGUUGGGAGCCUGCGUCCCCUAGGGGCGCAGUUCCUCAAAGUUAGUGGCGGAGCUAGGGCACACUCUAAGCGUAGUAAGCUAUUCUCGCUUCUGUGGUGUACCUAGCCUCCUGCCGUAAAACCCCUAUACAUCUAGUGGUUGACCUCGAAUUAGGUAGGAAUACCCGCUGAACUUAA